UGUGACAUACCACUUGUUGCCUCGGCGGAUCAGCCCGCUCCCGGUAAAACGGGACGGCCCGCCAGAGGACCCCUAAAACUCUGUUUCUAUAUGUAACUUCUGAGUAAAACCAUAAAUAAAUCAAAACUUUCAACAACGGAUCUCUUGGUUCUGGCAUCGAUGAAGAACGCAGCAAAAUGCGAUAAGUAAUGUGAAUUGCAGAAUUCAGUGAAUCAUCGAAUCUUUGAACGCACAUUGCGCCCGCCAGUAUUCUGGCGGGCAUGCCUGUUCGAGCGUCAUUUCAACCCUCAAGCACAGCUUGGUGUUGGGACUCGCGUUAAUUCGCGUUCCUCAAAUUGAUUGGCGGUCACGUCGAGCUUCCAUAGCGUAGUAGUAAAACCCUCGUUACUGGUAAUCGUCGCGGCCACGCCGUUAAACCCCAACUUCUGAAUGUUGACCUCGGAUCAGGUAGGAAUACCCGCUGAACUUAAGCAUAUCAAUA
RNAcentral lists this ribosomal RNA (481 nucleotides) under Fusarium oxysporum. RNAcentral's name for it is "eukaryotic LSU rRNA". The stretch from base 125 to 278 matches the Rfam family "5.8S ribosomal RNA". The record is from RNAcentral. Lineage: Eukaryota; Fungi; Ascomycota; Sordariomycetes; Hypocreales; Nectriaceae.